This 67-nucleotide transfer RNA is filed under the name Inioteuthis japonica. Its description in RNAcentral is "tRNA-Lys". The record is from RNAcentral. Lineage: Eukaryota; Metazoa; Mollusca; Cephalopoda; Sepiida; Sepiolidae.
UAUUAAGUGGCCGAACUAUAGGCACUAGACUUUUAAUCUAGAUAAUGAUUUAAAUAAUCCUUAAUAU